GUGCCAAUUGGCAUAAACCCGUAGAUCCGAUCUUGUGGUGAAAUAUAGUGCACAAGCUCGUUUCUAUGGGUCAGUGUCAGUCUGGUG
This 87-nucleotide microRNA precursor is filed under the name Python bivittatus (Burmese python). Its description in RNAcentral is "microRNA pbv-mir-99a precursor". Its record names the gene pbv-mir-99a. The stretch from base 9 to 80 matches the Rfam family "mir-10 microRNA precursor family". From Rfam's summary of the family: In this case the mature sequence comes from the 5' arm of the precursor. The extents of the hairpin precursors are not generally known and are estimated based on hairpin prediction. The record is from miRBase by way of RNAcentral. Lineage: Eukaryota; Metazoa; Chordata; Lepidosauria; Squamata; Pythonidae.